UAGGGAAUCUUCCGCAAUGGGCGAAAGCCUGACGGAGCAACGCCGCGUGAGUGAAGAAGGUCUUCGGAUCGUAAAAUUCUGUUAUUAGGGAAGAACAAAUGUGUAAGUAACUAUGCACGUCUUGACGGUACCUAAUCAGAAAGCCACGGCUAACUACGUGCCAGCAGCCGCGAUAAUACGUAGGUGGCAAGCGUUAUCCGGAAUUAUUGGGCGUAAAGCGCGCGUAGGCGGUUUUUUAAGUCUGAUGUGAAAGCCCACGGCUCAACCGUGGAGGGUCAUUGGAAACUGGAAAACUUGAGUGCAGAAGAGGAAAGUGGAAUUCCAUGUGUAGCGGUGAAAUGCGCAGAGAUAUGGAGGAACACCAGUGGCGAAGGCGACUUUCUGGUCUGUAACUGACGCUGAUGUGCGAAAGCGUGGGGAUCAAACAGGAUUAGAUACCCUGGUAGUCCACGCCGUAAACGAUGAGUGCUAAGUGUUAGGGGGUUUCCGCCCCUUAGUGCUGCAGCUAACGCAUUAAGCACUCCGCCUGGGGGAGUACNACCGCAAGGUUG
RNAcentral lists this ribosomal RNA (551 nucleotides) under uncultured bacterium. RNAcentral's name for it is "bacterial SSU rRNA". It matches the Rfam family "Bacterial small subunit ribosomal RNA", at positions 355 to 896 of the family's 1533-position model. The record is from RNAcentral.